CUUAGGGUGUAGCUCUGUGGUAGAGCAGGUGCCUCACAUGCACAAGGGUCUGGGUUCAAUUCCCAGGAUCAAGA
This 74-nucleotide transfer RNA is filed under the name Marmota monax (woodchuck). RNAcentral's name for it is "tRNA.Val". The stretch from base 10 to 66 matches the Rfam family "tRNA", at positions 8 to 63 of the family's 71-position model. From Rfam's summary of the family: Transfer RNA (tRNA) molecules are approximately 80 nucleotides in length. Their secondary structure includes four short double-helical elements and three loops (D, anti-codon, and T loops). Lineage: Eukaryota; Metazoa; Chordata; Mammalia; Rodentia; Sciuridae. The record is from RNAcentral.